GGAGAAUAUAUUUUUUCAUGAAGUUUUGUUUUUUUCCACGGCAUUGCCGGCCCAAUAAACAAUUUUCUCUCUUGCAAUCACAACUUUAGUCGUGAAAAAUGAGAUUUUUGCAUGAUCAACAGCAAAAGACAUGAAAAUAAUAGCAAGAAAAAAGAUAACCUAAAAAAGAGGAGGUUUCUUGGAUUUCCAUCGUCUCUUGGAUCACCACCAACACCUUCAUUUUCAGGGUGCAUUUUUGCGGACCCCAUAAUAUUGAACAGAAAACACCCCUCGAUAAUGGAACUUUCCCAUUCAACGUCCCCAUGUUGAAGGCAACAACGGCGGAGAAAUUUUUGAAGAUACUGUCGAAGCCAAGAAAGAAAUCAAUAG
Long non-coding RNA from Malus domestica (apple), 369 nucleotides. RefSeq lists it as uncharacterized. Lineage: Eukaryota; Viridiplantae; Streptophyta; Magnoliopsida; Rosales; Rosaceae. The record is from RefSeq and is a predicted model, not a curated record.